UCAUCGGAAGCUCUAACAAUAGCGGUUUGUUUUGCGCUGUAAAGUCCGUCUGUGUUGUGACACAUGCAAGAUAUGCAACCA
This 81-nucleotide small RNA is filed under the name Arabidopsis thaliana (thale cress). RNAcentral describes it as "ATSL184480". The record is from RNAcentral. Lineage: Eukaryota; Viridiplantae; Streptophyta; Magnoliopsida; Brassicales; Brassicaceae.